Long non-coding RNA from Oreochromis niloticus (Nile tilapia), 231 nucleotides. RefSeq lists it as uncharacterized. Lineage: Eukaryota; Metazoa; Chordata; Actinopteri; Cichliformes; Cichlidae. The record is from RefSeq and is a predicted model, not a curated record. The transcript has 2 exons.
UCAGACACUCGUCCACCAGCAAAACGAGUCUGGGCAACUGAUGAUUUCCACACGGCAUCAAAUUCUCCACCUAAAAAGCCUUUCCACAACACAAAUGAAGAACUACUGACAGAGGAGCUACAGAGCAAUGCAGUUCAGCACUUCUGGUGUGUCAGUGCAACUCAUUGUCAAAGUGAUGAAAGGUACACAGAAUUCUCUCGAAAUCAUCAGUGCACAUGUAAUGCCCUCACA